GAUGAACGCUGGCGGCGUGCCUAAUACAUGCAAGUAGAACGCCGAAGCAAGGAGCUUGCUCUUUUCGGAUUAGUUGCGAACGGGUGAGUAACGCGUAGAUAACCUGCCUCUUAGCCGGGGAUAACUACUGGAAACGAUAGCUAAUACCGCAUAAUAGUAGCUGUUGCAUGAUACCUACUUAAAAGGUGCAUUUGCACCACUACCAGAUGGACCUGCGUUGUAUUAGCUAGUUGGUGAGGUAACAGCCCACCCAGGCGACGAUACAUAGCCGAGCUGAGAGGGGGAUCGGGCACAAUGGGAAAGAGACAAAGGCCAAACACCCACGGGGGGGAGGAGGAGGGGAAAUUUGGCAAUGGGGGGAAAGCCGAACGAGCAAAGCCGCGUGAGUGAAAGAAGGUUUCGGAGUGGAAAACUCUGUUGUAUGAGAAGAAAGAGAAGGAGGGUGGAAAGUUCAAAUUGUGACGGUACCUUACGAAAAAGGGACGGCUAACUACGUG
This 497-nucleotide ribosomal RNA is filed under the name uncultured bacterium. RNAcentral's name for it is "partial 16S ribosomal RNA". It matches the Rfam family "Bacterial small subunit ribosomal RNA", at positions 28 to 507 of the family's 1533-position model. The record is from RNAcentral.